Molecule: long non-coding RNA, 277 nt
Organism: Oxyura jamaicensis (ruddy duck)
Lineage: Eukaryota; Metazoa; Chordata; Aves; Anseriformes; Anatidae
Exons: 2
Source: RefSeq, a predicted model, not a curated record
AAGCACGCCUGCCUGUCCGAGCCUCUUAACAGGAAAAUGAAAAUCCCAGAGCUGCGACCGGCUGAUAAAGUCUUCUUGGAACAGAUUUGCUUAUGCAGGCGACGCAGGAACUUAUCGCAAACAAAAGGCAACUUUGAUAUCCAAAAAGCACCAAAAUGAAAAUCCUAACAGAGAAAAGAACAAAAGCCAGACGGGUGCAACAGGGACGCUCCGAGAGGGGAAAGCAGAAGGUAGGCUCAGCCACGACGUGUCUGAUUCAGGGAAAAAAAAAAAAAAA